RNAcentral lists this ribosomal RNA (252 nucleotides) under uncultured bacterium. RNAcentral describes it as "partial 16S ribosomal RNA". It matches the Rfam family "Bacterial small subunit ribosomal RNA", at positions 524 to 776 of the family's 1533-position model. The record is from RNAcentral.
UACAGAGGGGGCAAGCGUUGUUCGGAAUUACUGGGCGUAAGGGCGCGUAGGCGGCCCGCUAAGUCGAACGUGAAAUCCCCGAGCUCAACUCGGGAACUGCGUCCGAUACUGGCGGGCUUGAAUCCGGGAGAGGGAUGCGGAAUUCCAGGUGUAGCGGUGAAAUGCGUAGAUAUCUGGAGGAACACCGGUGGCGAAGGCGGCAUCCUGGACCGGCAUUGACGCUGAGGCGCGAAAGCUAGGGGAGCAAACGGG